CGCUAAACUAGUGCCGCGGCUCGCGGAAA
Molecule: small RNA, 29 nt
Filed under: Bombyx mori (domestic silkworm)
Lineage: Eukaryota; Metazoa; Arthropoda; Insecta; Lepidoptera; Bombycidae
Description: ovarian small RNA-4899
Source: RNAcentral